AUUGAACGCUGGCGGCAUGCCUUACACAUGCAAGUCGAACGGCAGCACGGGUGCUUGCACCUGGUGGCGAGUGGCGAACGGGUGAGUAAUACAUCGGAACGUACCUUAUCGUGGGGGAUAACGCAGCGAAAGCUGUGCUAAUACCGCAUACGCCCGGAGGGGGAAAGCGGGGGAUCGCGAGACCUCGCGCGAUUAGAGCGGCCGAUGCCUGAUUAGCUAGUUGGGGGGGUAAAAGCCCACCAGGGCGACGAUCAGUAGCUGGUCUGAGAGGACGAUCAGCCACACUGGGACUGAGACACGGCCCAGACUCCUACGGGAGGCAGCAGUGGGGAAUUUUGGACAAUGGGGGCAACCCUGAUCCAGCAAUGCCGCGUGAGUGAAGAAGGCCUUCGGGUUGUAAAGCUCUUUUGUCAGGGAAGAAACACCGGCUCUAACACAGUCCGGGAAUGACGGUACCUGAAGAAUAAGCACCGGCUAACUACGUGCCAGCAGCCGCCGUAA
This 501-nucleotide ribosomal RNA is filed under the name uncultured bacterium. RNAcentral's name for it is "partial 16S ribosomal RNA". It matches the Rfam family "Bacterial small subunit ribosomal RNA", at positions 29 to 523 of the family's 1533-position model. The record is from RNAcentral.